This 429-nucleotide ribosomal RNA is filed under the name Pseudomonadota bacterium. RNAcentral's name for it is "Proteobacteria bacterium partial 16S ribosomal RNA". It matches the Rfam family "Bacterial small subunit ribosomal RNA", at positions 355 to 776 of the family's 1533-position model. Lineage: Bacteria; Pseudomonadati; Pseudomonadota. The record is from RNAcentral.
UGGGGAAUAUUGGACAAUGGGCGAAAGCCUGAUCCAGCCAUGCCGCGUGUGUGAAGAAGGUUUUCGGUUUGUAAAGCACUUUAAGUUGGGAGGAAGGGCAGUAAGCGAAUACCUUGCUGUUUUGACGUUACCGACAGAAUAAGCACCGGCUAACUCUGUGCCAGCAGCCGCGGCAAUACAGAGGGUGCAAGCGUUAAUCGGAAUUACUGGGAGUAAAGCGCGCGUAGGUGGUUCGUUAAGUUGAAUGUGAAAGCCCCGGGCGCAACCUGGGAAAUGCAUCCAAGACUGGCGAGCUAGAGUAGGGCAGAGGGGGGUGGAAUUUCCUGUGUAGCGGUGAAAUGCGUGGAGAUAGGAGGGAACACCAGUGGGGAAGGCGACCACCUGGGCUCAUACUGACACUGAGGUGCGAAAGCGUGGGGAGCAAACAGG